GUGGGGAAUUUUGGACAAUGGGGGCAACCCUGAUCCAGCCAUUCCGCGUGAGUGAAGAAGGCCUUCGGGUUGUAAAGCUCUUUCGGCAGGAACGAAACGGUGAGCUCUAACAUAGCUCGCUAAUGACGGUACCUGAAGAAGAAGCACCGGCUAACUACGUGCCAGCAGCCGCGGUAAUACGUAGGGUGCGAGCGUUAAUCGGAAUUACUGGGCGUAAAGCGUGCGCAGGCGGUUGUGUAAGACAGGUGUGAAAUCCCCGGGCUUAACCUGGGAACUGCGCUUGUGACUGCACGGCUAGAGUAUGGCAGAGGGGGGUGGAAUUCCACGUGUAGCAGUGAAAUGCGUAGAGAUGUGGAGGAACACCGAUGGCGAAGGCAGCCCCCUGGGCCAAUACUGACGCUCAUGCACGAAAGCGUGGGGAGCAAACAGGAUUAGAAACCCUAGUAGUCC
This 450-nucleotide ribosomal RNA is filed under the name uncultured bacterium. Its description in RNAcentral is "partial 16S ribosomal RNA". It matches the Rfam family "Bacterial small subunit ribosomal RNA", at positions 354 to 796 of the family's 1533-position model. The record is from RNAcentral.